AUUGAUUUUUCGAAUUAUUUGAAUAUUAAAGGCGUUAAGAACCUUUGGUGACCCCAACAGUUUAAAUUCUAUAAUAAGUAAGUAGUGAGCAGUGGUCGUUACAGACAAACGUUUACAUAAUCUGUCCCAGUCAAUGGGAUAAUUUAGGUCGCCAAGCAAUAGCCACAGCCACACUGUUUUGAAUAUGAUUCUAUGUUUAAAGCUGUUAACAUUUAUGCAUGUAAGAGACAUAGAUCAUUUUUUGAUAUAAAUAUACAAUCUAAACAAUAUACAAUGUAUCUUUAGUUUCACAGAUGAUAUCGGAUAUGUUCCUUAUGAACUUAACUACGAUACCCUUCCCUUUCCACGAAUGUGACCUACCGAAUUAGAAUAUUUACGGAAUUUUAACACAAGCAACACGACGGGUGCCACAUAUGGAGCAGAAUCUGCUAACCCUUCCGGAACACCUGAGAGCACCACCAGUUUGUGGUGGGGUUCGUGUUGCUUAGUCUUUAGUUUUCUAUGUUGUGUUUUCUGUACUAUUAUUUUUCUGUUUGUCUUUUUAUUUUUAGCCAUGACGUUGUCAGUUUAUUUUCUAUCUAUGAGUUUGACUCUCCCUCUGGUAUCUUUUGUCCCUCUUUUAGGUCGAACAACUUGGUUCUUGAAAAACUGGCAAAUUCGUUUUAUAUAGGACAGAUAAAAUUUAAACUCAGCAAGUAAACAGUAUUUAAAACAAAGAAUUGAAGACCAUGUGUGUAUUUUCGAAAGUAAAAGUAGUACGGAAUAAUUUGUUUUUGUUUUCUGAUGUAACAGAAUAAAAUUGUAAAAAUGACAAAAACAGAUAUUGACAUUGAUAUACAUAUAGUAAAUUACAGAAAACAAAUUUUAAGCUUGUGUUUUAAUUGUUAAACACAUACAUACCACUAUUAGAAACAUAAAUACCAUGGUACAAUAUAUUAUAAGUCUUUUCAUAUCUAUAUUAUAAAAUGAUUUCAUAAGUGAUCUAGAUCGUUCGGUUUUAAGUGGAGCUCAUAUGGUUACUGUCAAUGAGUAUGAUCGGUAUACAUUUUUUUUUUACAAAUAGUGAUCAAGCUAUAUCACUUACAUUAAUAAGAAACACACUUUAAUACACGUUACACCUUGAGCUUAUUUACCAUGUUUACCCAUUCAGAAAUACUUUAUUUUUAUACAUGUAAGAUAGAGAAUUACGUGAUAACAGUCAAACACUUGUGCAUGUUGUAAACAUAUGACUUUUUAAAAGAAAAAAAUGUUUUUUUAAUCGAAUGAUGUUAAUCACAACUUUCGCACUUUUGGCUAUUUCGAGCAGUUAGUUUUGUUGGUUGAUAAAGUCGGAGUGGCAGAAGGAGAAUCACCGUCCCUCAGCAGGAAAACUGAGAAUCCUUGUCAAUAGAUAUUGGGGUUCUGAUUGACAAUCUCAUUGUUGACAGACUAGUGAUAUAGUAGAAGUUCAGCUAUCAAAUGGUAAAAAUGUGAUUUGAAGGGCUUGUAAAUGGCCUCAUUAAAUGCAAUACCAACAGUCGUGCCUUAAUGUUAUUUUUUCUGCUAAAAGGAAGACAACUUCCUUUCGUUUGUGUACAGUUGUAGAAUAUUUUGAUUCUAAAACAAAAAAAUAAGUUGAACUUACCUUUUACUAGAUAAAGAACAAGAAGGAGACUUUAAAAGUAUAAUCGGGUUUUGUUUAUUAACUUUAUAUAUAUACUAGUCGCAUGCCCUGAGACCUGUUUACCUGUUUACUUCAGAAUGGAUCAGAGUACACAUGUAUGUAGUUGUUUACUACUUCGAGUAUUAAUGUAGGUCAAUACCCUUAUAUAUAUAGUUUUGAAAAGGUAUAAAUAGUUUCAUAUCCAAUCAGGUUAUUCUUCGGAAGUUUUCGGGAAGUUUCGGUACAUUUCUCGGUUUCGACGCAAUCAAAAUAGAUAAGUUCACAAAAAUUGCACAUUAUAAAUUAUAAUAUUCUACUAGAAGCUACAAAGAAUGGUUGUUACCGUUACUAUGUACAAGUAUACCUAGUAUAUUUUCGUGUUAAGUAUUAUCUUUAGGUCAUUAAUUUACACACCAUAACGAUUUAUCAUUAAUUUAUUUGAAUAGUCACAAUUUUUACCAUCAACAUAGGAUUUUUUCAGUCGUCAACUGUCGGGUUUUUUCUCUCUCUAAAAGAUCAAAAAACAAAU
This 2171-nucleotide long non-coding RNA is filed under the name Mytilus galloprovincialis (Mediterranean mussel). Lineage: Eukaryota; Metazoa; Mollusca; Bivalvia; Mytilida; Mytilidae. The record is from RNAcentral.